RNAcentral lists this transfer RNA (96 nucleotides) under Candidatus Caldarchaeales archaeon. RNAcentral's name for it is "tRNA-Gln". The record is from RNAcentral. Lineage: Archaea; Thermoproteati; Nitrososphaerota; Candidatus Caldarchaeales.
AGCCCGGUCGUCUAGCGGCCAAACCCUGGCCAGAUGUGGGGCUAAGGAUCCCGGGCUCUGGCCCCGGGGACGCCGGUUCGAAUCCGGCCCGGGCUA